GUGUAAUUCCAAGCCAAUUGCUAUGUCUGGGGAAAACAUUCUUCACAGGUAUUAAAGCACAGAGCCCAGCUGUGGGCUAGGCCAUUGGGAAGGAGUUACCCAAGUUUUAAUCGUCAUACAUUACACUUGUUUGUUUCUAUAAUGUCCUAGCUAGUGCGCUCCUUAACCAUUUAAUUGUGUCUGACGGAGUGAUGCGGUUGCUAGGAGACCAUGCUUGUUAAACUACCACUGCAGACUAAACAGGCAAGAUUAUGUUUAUUUAGCAUUUAAACAAUGCUACUAAGUAGUCCAAGUCCAGAAUUGUCCAGCUGAUCCUUGCUUUUGUGUGUCAGCCUUCAUACUACCUUAUAAGCAAGUAGGUCAGCAUCACCAGU
Molecule: long non-coding RNA, 374 nt
Filed under: Bos taurus (domestic cattle)
Lineage: Eukaryota; Metazoa; Chordata; Mammalia; Artiodactyla; Bovidae
Description: long non-coding RNA NONBTAT010841
Source: RNAcentral